This is a long non-coding RNA of Clupea harengus (Atlantic herring), 1323 nucleotides long. The record is from Ensembl. Lineage: Eukaryota; Metazoa; Chordata; Actinopteri; Clupeiformes; Clupeidae.
GGAGGCCAGGCAUUAUCUCUGAGGAGGUGUUGCAGGGGGGGGGGGGCAGGCAUUACCUCUGAAGAGCCGUUUGUGUUUUAAAGUGGAUUUUAACCCUCAAGGCAUGAUGGCCGCCGUGGGCUACAUAUGUAACUCCACCACAGCCCUGUUGGAGUACUUGUAAAAUAAAAGUCUUUGUGAUUAAUUAGUAGAGUUUUAACUCCUGUAACAGAUUCAGUAAUAUAUGAAGAACGCCCCAGAGGGCAGUCUUUGCACUUUGUAACGGUGAGGCAGGAAGAGAGGUGCACACUUCCAGACCAUCUCCAGACUCACUGCAUAAAGAGGGGCCCCGCGCUGGUCUUAAUCCUGAACUUUAACCCUUAACCCCUAAACCGCUCACUUCCUGCUGUCUGGCUGGGCCUUCUCCGCUCACUCUGACUCUGUUAAAGGUGUGUGUGUGUGUUCCUGUAGCAUAAUACGUGUGGGUGGGUGUGUAUGAUCUCUGAUCUGUAGCAUCAGUGGUUUAUAUGGCUCUGUUGCUGUUGGAAGAUAGCAACCUGUCUCUAGUGCUCUCUUGGACUGCCGGGGUUAUGCCGAUGGGAAUCAGAGAGGAAUAAGUCCAGGAGAGGGGUGUGAGUGUGUGUGUGUGUGUGUGUCUAGCAGAGAUCUCAGGCCCAUAUAAUGUCCCACCUGCAUGAGGCCUGCCGAAGCUCGUCAUAUCACCUUCGUUUGUUUUUAUUUUGUCUCCCUCCGAUAACGUCAUUUCUGUUGCCUUAUUCUGAACACCAUUGAAUCCAGAAAUCUGUAUUUAUAAAUAAAGCGUCGUCCCAAACCCGAAAAAGGAUCCACGGGCCGCCAGUAAACGCACUGGACAGAGGCAGAACUCGCUGACGACCCCUAGCUGACCUUUAGAGACCAAAAGAGACUUUAAAGCUGACCUGUAGAGACCAAAAGGGGCCGACCAAACCAACACUACAGUCACGAACGGUUCAAACGCAUUCAAGUCGAACUGAUGCAGAGCCAGGGGCGGGCAGGAGGCUGACAUAUAUGCAUCUCGAUUCUGAAUAUUUCUAUUCAAUUUGUAUCAUGUUGUAAUAAUAGAUGUAUUUUAAGUCACGUUGAAGAUUGAAAUAUGUGAUUCUCCAAGGAAGGAUAGAAAAUUAGUUUUUUUUAUUUUAAUCCUGUUGAUUUUUUUUCUCCAUGUAUUGGUGAUCACUUAUGUGAUUCACAACAUCAAAGCAAAUAUAUUAACCAUGAAAAUCUGUUAACUUUGGAAUGUCUUCUGUAAUUGACAUUGGUUUGUAUUAAUAUUGUUAAUAAAGACAGUGCUGUAAAUGCUGGUUA